This 404-nucleotide ribosomal RNA is filed under the name Actinomycetes bacterium. Its description in RNAcentral is "Actinobacteria bacterium partial 16S ribosomal RNA". It matches the Rfam family "Bacterial small subunit ribosomal RNA", at positions 355 to 776 of the family's 1533-position model. The record is from RNAcentral. Lineage: Bacteria; Bacillati; Actinomycetota; Actinomycetes.
UGGGGAAUAUUGGACAAUGGGCGCAAGCCUGAUCCAGCCAUGCCGCGUGAGUGAUGAAGGCCCUAGGGUUGUAAAGCUCUUUCACCGGUGAAGAUAAUGACGGUAACCGGAGAAGAAGCCCCGGCUAACUUCGUGCCAGCAGCCGCGGUAAUACGAAGGGGGCUAGCGUUGUUCGGAUUUACUGGGCGUAAAGCGCACGUAGGCGGACUUUUAAGUCAGGGGUGAAAUCCCGGGGCUCAACCCCGGAACUGCCUUUGAUACUGGAAGUCUUGAGUAUGGUAGAGGUGAGUGGAAUUCCGAGUGUAGAGGUGAAAUUCGUAGAUAUUCGGAGGAACACCAGUGGCGAAGGCGGCUCACUGGACCAUUACUGACGCUAAGGUGCGAAAGCGUGGAGAGCAAACAGG